UGCCGGAUAGCUCAAUUGGCAGAGCAGCUGACUCUGGAUCAGCAGGUUCCAGGUUCGAGCCCUGGUCCGGCAGCCC
This 76-nucleotide transfer RNA is filed under the name Armatimonadota bacterium. Its description in RNAcentral is "Armatimonadetes bacterium (hot springs metagenome) tRNA-Gln". It matches the Rfam family "tRNA". Rfam says of the family: Transfer RNA (tRNA) molecules are approximately 80 nucleotides in length. Their secondary structure includes four short double-helical elements and three loops (D, anti-codon, and T loops). The record is from RNAcentral. Lineage: Bacteria; Bacillati; Armatimonadota.